Microtus ochrogaster (prairie vole) is the source of this 1472-nucleotide long non-coding RNA. RefSeq lists it as uncharacterized. NCBI's taxonomy places the organism in Eukaryota, Metazoa, Chordata, Mammalia, Rodentia, Cricetidae. The record is from RefSeq and is a predicted model, not a curated record. The transcript has 3 exons.
CUGGCCAAUGGGCGUGAGGCGCGGGGGGGCGGGCCGACACCCGGGGCCGCGUUUCCCGCCGUCCCCUCCCCCUCCCGCCGAGGCCCGACCGGGGCUCGGCGGGGGCCGGGCCGGGCUUAUUAAUCAGGGGCUCGUUGUGGAUACGGGCGGGGGCGAUGCCACCCUGGGCGGGAAGCUGGCUACGAAGGAGGCGGGUGUGGGGUUUAUGCUCCUGCCUCGCGCCCUGCUAACUGGCCCCAGGCUUCCGCCGGCGAGGGGGAACGGGGGCGGGAGGACGGAGCCGUUGCGGGGCGGCGAUCGGACCCCAGCAGUCGCGGUGGGCGCGCGGCGCAGGGCGGUGCCCGCCGUGGGUGGUAGGCUCGCGGCCCGGCUUGUUUACGAACAUCGCUGCCUGCGAGCUAUGGGUUGAUAGCAGCUCCAUGUUUUUUUGAUUUUUUUUUUGUUUUUUGUUUUUUGUUUUUUUGCCUGCGGCGAGCCGUGUGAGGGGCGCCCCGGAACCGCCCCACCCUCCGCGGGCGCCCGCCCCCGCCCCCGGCCGUGGGCUCUUUCCGGGGCGUCAUCAGAGCCAUUCACUUGUCAGGUUCCCGGGAAGUGGAAGUCGCCUGUUCUGGAUGUAAUAGGAGAGAGGAGGAGGGCGUGUUGGCGUAGGAAAAUGCGGUUUCCAUAGUGCCGGGAAAGGGCGGGCCUGGGCGGGAGCGGGGAGCUGGGAGCGGGUGCUGGCGGGCGUCCCUCCCGCGCCCCGCGCCCUUACCGCACCCAGCCCGCACCCCAAGCCCUGCUCACCCCACACCCGGGAUACCUGCUGGCGUCGCCAUCCCUAGGAGUGCGGCCGCGGGCACAGGGCCAAGCCAAAGAUGCCCUUGAACUACUGCUUUGAAUUUCUCUAUCUACGUGGCCUUUGUGACUUUCAAAGUCGAGGGCAAAUAAGCACCCGCACGUCAGUCUCCUUACAGAAUGAGGGCCGCUAGAAAGGGCAGUGAUCCGAGUUCACAGAGAGCAGGCUAGGAAUCCUGAUCGAGAGCAAUGCCGGUGACAUUAAGAAUGUCUCCAACAUGACACAGCUAUAUUUUCUGGAUGCAGAGUAGAGACAGCUGGGAGUGACCUUCUGCCAGUCCCCGUGCCUCGGGAGAGCAAAGUCAACCUGUGCUCUUUGGUGCUGUGUGCUGAUCAGGAGCAAGCAGUUGGCCUGGGUUUGCAAGUUCCUCCCGAGCAUCAAUGUCAGUCUCUGAGCACGAAGGGUUUAAACUGACUGGAUCUGUCUCCAAUACUACAGCUUCAAAGAGGAGUUUGUAACCAUCUGCCCAUGCUGUGGGGAACCUUCCAGGAGUGAACCACAAGGGACGGGCAACACAGAAGGUUCAGCUCUAUGCAUGUAACUGGCAUUCCACUCCCUGUCCUUUCUGUCCAGCCGCUUCUUAAACAUUACUGAUUCACCAGCCACCUGCGUCCGUGAUCAGUUCCUUCUUUAAGUU